ACAAGCGGCGGAGCAUGUGGAUUAAUUCGAUGCAACGCGAAGAACCUUAUCUGGGCUUGACAUACACCAGAUCGGCGCAGAGAUGCGUUUUCCCUUGUGGUUGGUGUACAGGUGGUGCAUGGUUGUCGUCAGCUCGUGUCGUGAGAUGUUGGGUUAAGUCCCGCAACGAGCGCAACCCUUGUCUUAUGUUGCCAGCACGUGAUGGUGGGGACUCAUGAGAGACUGCCGGGGUUAACUCGGAGGAAGGUGGGGAUGACGUCAAAUCAUCAUGCCCCUUAUGUCCAGGGCUUCACACAUGCUACAAUGGUCGGUACAACGCGUGUGCGACACUGUGAGGUGAAGCUAAUCGCUCUAAAGCCGGUCGUAGUUCGGAUUGGGGUCUGCAACUCGACCCCAUGAAGUCGGAGUCGCUAGUAAUCGCAGAUCAGCAACGCUGCGGUGAAUACGUUCCCGGGCCUU
Molecule: ribosomal RNA, 459 nt
Filed under: uncultured Corynebacterium sp.
Lineage: Bacteria; Bacillati; Actinomycetota; Actinomycetes; Mycobacteriales; Corynebacteriaceae
Description: bacterial SSU rRNA
Rfam family: Bacterial small subunit ribosomal RNA
Source: RNAcentral